RNAcentral lists this unclassified non-coding RNA (3423 nucleotides) under Hevea brasiliensis (rubber tree). Lineage: Eukaryota; Viridiplantae; Streptophyta; Magnoliopsida; Malpighiales; Euphorbiaceae. The record is from RNAcentral.
CUUAAACAUUCAGAUAUUGGAAGGUUCUCUCUAACGAGUCUUCAUUUUACAUUUACAAUAGGUAACAAAGGGAAAGGCUGUAAAACUAACAAGCAACAAUCCAACAAUUUCCUAUUAGAUUUCCUGGUGAAUCACCCACAUACUCAAUCCCAGACUCGAGACCGUAACAAUUUGGUAUCAAAACUCAACAUGGGCAAAGCCUUCUUGCGACAAUUUGAGAUCUUCUUGAAGUAGUAUCAUAAUGAUUGCGAAAUCAUCCUCACUCAACAGCAGGAUUUAUCAUUGUGAAUGGACAACCUUGCAAAGGAAUUUAAAACCAGCCGUUUGGAGAAGCCAUUGAUGGCCGAGAAGAAAAGUGUUCUACAAGGUCAACCGAAUGAAGGAAAAAAAGACCAAUCACUAAUACUUCAAACCAUGAAGGCCGGCAUGAAAAUGGUUGGUUUGUUCUGAGGUAUUUAAAAUUGGAUUUUCCUUCCUAAAAUGGCAAAGAAAAUCCCAUUGGGUGGUUUAGCAGGUGCGAGCAUUGUUUUUGACACCAAAAAACUGCAGCAGAUGAUAAGGUAAGCCUAGCUCCUUUCCAUCUUAAAGGAGUUGGUCAACUCUCCUUCUUGAAAUUGGAACAAGAUAGCUCAAUUUAGCAUGGGUUGAAUUUAAAGAAUGUUAUCAUCAAUGUUUUGAGCCCCCAAUUAGUGGAGGUCAACUUGGAGCUUUGUCCAAAUUAAGCCAAAUAAGCUCAGUGGAGGAAUACCAACAUCUGUUUGAACAAUUAGGUGGAGAUUUUCAUUAGCAGUUUGAAUGAGGCUCUACAAAUCAAGGUAACUAUACACCAUCCCACUGACCUAUCAACUACAAUGGAUUUGGCUCAGUUGUUUGAACAACGAAUGCACAAAGGCUACAAGCUCUAAAGGCUAAAGCGAGCACAUUCGACUUCAUAUAACACGAACCCACCAUUUAUCAAGCAGUUAUUUAGCGCUGAGAUAGCAUAAUGAAGGGCAAAAGAAUUAUGGUUUAAUGGCUAUGAGCCAUAUAUAAACAAGCAUCACUGUAAAAAAUUAUUUUGGCUAGAAGGAAUUGAAGAUUGAAAUGCUAAAGGGAAAUUGAGAGUCAAUAAAAGCUUUGUGAGGCCACUUUGUGGCAACAAUUUCCUACCUUUGUGCUUAAGGACAAGCACGUUUCCAAAGGGGGGAGUAAUGUUACGAAUAAACAGCAAACCAGCUAUUUUCAGCAAGUCUGUAAGAGGCUCUCGCAUGGGAAAAGAAGGCACGGUAUUGAUUGUGUAAAAUUGAUUUCUUUCCUUAGUUUAUUCAGAUGUUUGUUUUUCCUUAUUUAGUUUUCCUAAUUCAAAUAGUAGUUAGGUUUCCUAAAUUUUAGUAGUAUUAGUUGCGCAGGAAAUAUUAGUUGUUAAGGCAUAUACUCCGAAUUAAUGAAUGAGUAUAUUCUUGUUUAGAGUCCAGUUAAGAAUCAAAGCGUAUUUGAUGCGUCCCACAUCGGUUCUGCAGGGAGGUCUUGGGUGUUAUAUACAUGAGUUUGCAAAUCUCCCCUUGUUAGCUAGCUUUUGAGGUGGAGUUAGACAAGUUCAUAUCAUUUUGGAAUUCAGAAGGAGCCCACAUCAUCUACUUCGACAAUUUUUUUAUUCACUUCUAAAAUCCACAUCAACAUGGACUCAUGAUCUAAACCCAUCGGAUAUAAUUGAAACAAAAUCAAUCACUAUAAAACAAAUUGAUGAACAUAAUUAAAAAUAUAAUACAACUUCAAAAAAAAAAAGGUUCAAAGUUCAAAAUUUAGUCCCUAAAAACAUCUCAGGCAUUUUUAGUAACCAAACAAACACACACUUCGCUUUUAAACUCAGGGACAAGUUUCUGAAGAGGGAGGAGGAAAAAAAAAAAAGAGUUUUAUGUGUGAUGGAGUAGUUGAUGUGCAUUGGGAAUGUAAAAAUAUAAUUUGGGUGGAGUGAAAAAAGUAAGUUUAUGUGAUGCGAUAGUGAUUUAUUCCUUUGGGAUUAGAAAAUUUCUUUAGAAGCGAGUUUUAUUCAAAAUUUAAAUCUAAAAAAGGCAAGUAACUUAUCGAUAAAAAAAUAUAGGCAUUAUUGAAAUUAAUUUUAAUUGGUACCCAUAGGAGCUGAGUCUUGCAAGGGAUUUUAAAAAUUAGUUUGAAAAAUUAAAAUUGCACAUGGAAUGGCUUGUUCGGUCAAUCCAUGUGCAUGGGCAUUGUUUACACCAAAAUAAUAAAAAUUGGGUCAUUAAUUAUUUGAGGCCUAAUAUUACUUAAUUUUUUUACAAAAUUAAUUUAAUUAAUUUUGUUUUAUUAAUUGAAUAAUGAGGCCUAGAAGUCAUUUAUCAUUUUGGGUGAUUUAAGAGAUAGGAUGCAGAAGGAGUUAUAAGAGAUUGUAAAGAGCAGUUAUUAGAAGGUGGAGAGUUAGAAGGAGUUAAGAGCAGUUACCUCCAGUUUAUUCAAGACGUGAGAUGGUGGAUUCCAGAGUCUUCUAAGUGCUUCCAUGAGCAAUAACUUUCAUGUAUAGAGGUGGUGUCUCUAGAUGCUUCUAGGUGCCUUCAAGAUGGUUAUAAAAAGUAGAUAGGUUACAGCAUUGCAAAUCCCAACAAACCCACUCGACCAAUCAAUCAAACCUAUCAAUAGACUCUAGUCUUUCAUCCUUUAUUUUCAUUGUUUAUCUUUAUUUUCCAAGCCUUGCAAUUAAUUCCAAAAGCUCUGUAUUUAUUUUUUCAAGCAAUCAAUACAAACUCUCUUUCAAUUCCUUAUUCAAUUUAUAGUGAGAUUAGGCAAAGUUGCGUACAAUAGAGCCUUUUCCUACAUUUGUUAGAAGUCCAUGAAUGCAUCAGAUUAAUAUACUCAUCAUAUGGCGCACCCACAUUCAAGCAGUUAGCCAACCAAAUUGUUUUUAUAGCAAACAAUUAGUUAUUUAAUUCAAUUCACAAUAUAAAUUGUUUAUAAUAUAGAAAAUAGAAAAGUCAAUUCUCAAUGACUAGUUUCAAUUGGAGUAACUUUAUGCAGUAAGUUGAUUCUUGAGAAAGUUUUUGAAAAAGUAAUAUGAGGCAUGGUAUAAUGCUAACAUAGAGCAUUUGCAAGUUAAGGGUGAAUUAUUGCAAAGUUGACUUGGAUGAGCAUGUGUCUCUGAAGGAUAAGUCAGUGCCAGUAUGGAAGAUUGUAGUCACCCAAAUUUAUACGAAUGAAGCUAUGGCGUGGAAAGCUUAUGUCUAACAAGUGAUGCUACUAUAGUUUGAUCAAUUAAGGAGAGGCCAAAACCUUCUCCGUGUACAUAAGAGAGACAUACAAAAAAGCAAAUUAAGUGAAAUUCAAGUAGGAAAUUGUGAAACUGCUUUGGGUUUUAAAAUGUUGUAUUCAGUAAGUUUUAUAAGAAUAGCAAGCAUGUUGAGUUGUUAUUCUCAUUAAGAAAUUUGUUUUUGC